GUCCUCAUUGCAUUUUGGGGUCUCAUGGUGUCCCCAUUGCAUGAAUGUCCCCAUAAUGCACCAUGGGGUCCCAUCCCAUCGUGGCCCCAUUGCAAUUUGGGGUCCCAUGUUGUUCCCAUUGCAUGAAUGUCCCCAUAAUGCACAAUAGGGUCCCAUCCCAUCGUGGCCCCAUUGCACUUUGGGGUCCCAUUGUGUCCCCGUUGCAUGAACGUCCCCAUAAUGCACAAUGGGGUCCCAUUCAUUGUGGCCCUAUUGCACUUUAGGGUCUUAUCAUGUCCCCAUUGCACGAACAUCCCCACAGCGCACUAUGGGGUCCCAUCCCAUCGUGGCCCCAUUGCACUUUGGGGUCCUGCCA
RNAcentral lists this long non-coding RNA (355 nucleotides) under Phasianus colchicus (ring-necked pheasant). Its description in RNAcentral is "lncRNA (ENSPCLG00000010425.1)". Lineage: Eukaryota; Metazoa; Chordata; Aves; Galliformes; Phasianidae. The record is from RNAcentral.